This 681-nucleotide small RNA is filed under the name Xanthomonas campestris pv. cordiae. RNAcentral describes it as "bacterial LSU rRNA". The stretch from base 234 to 681 matches the Rfam family "Bacterial large subunit ribosomal RNA", at positions 1 to 502 of the family's 2925-position model. Lineage: Bacteria; Pseudomonadati; Pseudomonadota; Gammaproteobacteria; Lysobacterales; Lysobacteraceae. The record is from RNAcentral.
CCACCACUCUGAAUGUAGUGCACACUUAAGAAUUUAUAUGGCUCAGCGUUGAGGCUGGGACAUGUUCUUUUAUAACUUGUGACGUAGCGAGCGUUUGAGAUAUCUAUCUAAACGUGUCGUUGAGGCUAAGGCGGGGACUUCGAGUCCCUAAAUAAUUGAGUCGUAUGUUCGCGUUGGUGGCUUUGUACCCCACACAACACGGCAUAUGACCCUGAGGCAACUUGGGGUUAUAUGGUCAAGCGAAUAAGCGCACACGGUGGAUGCCUAGGCGGUCAGAGGCGAUGAAGGACGUGGUAGCCUGCGAAAAGUGUCGGGGAGCUGGCAACAAGCUUUGAUCCGGCAAUAUCCGAAUGGGGAAACCCACUGCUUCGGCAGUAUCCUGCAGUGAAUUCAUAGCUGCUGGAAGCGAACCCGGUGAACUGAAAUAUCUAAGUAACCGGAGGAAAAGAAAUCAACCGAGAUUCCCUAAGUAGUGACGAGCGAACGGGGAGCAGCCCUUAAGCUGGAAUGGCUUUAGAAAAACAAUCUGGAAAGAUUGGCCAUAGAAGGUGAUAGCCCUGUAUUUAAAAGGGCCACUCCAGUGAAGACGAGUAGGGCGGGGCACGUGAAACCCUGUCUGAAUAUGGGGGGACCAUCCUCCAAGGCUAAAUACUCCUGACCGACCGAUAGUGAACCAGUACC